RNAcentral lists this transfer RNA (77 nucleotides) under candidate division TM6 bacterium JCVI TM6SC1. RNAcentral describes it as "tRNA-Arg". It matches the Rfam family "tRNA". From Rfam's summary of the family: Transfer RNA (tRNA) molecules are approximately 80 nucleotides in length. RNAcentral also lists the same sequence under 1 other name. The record is from RNAcentral.
GCGCUCGUAGCUCAGAAGGAUAGAGCGGCAGAUUCCUAAUCUGCAGGCCACAGGUUCGAUUCCUGUCGAGCGCACCA